This 502-nucleotide ribosomal RNA is filed under the name uncultured bacterium. RNAcentral describes it as "partial 16S ribosomal RNA". It matches the Rfam family "Bacterial small subunit ribosomal RNA", at positions 30 to 523 of the family's 1533-position model. The record is from RNAcentral.
AUUGAACGCUGGCGGCAGGCUUAACACAUGCAAGUCGAGCGGGGUGAUGGUGCUUGCACUAUCACUUAGCGGCGGACGGGUGAGUAAUGCUUAGGAAUCUGCCUAUUAGUGGGGGACAACAUCUCGAAAGGGAUGCUAAUACCGCAUACGUCCUACGGGAGAAAGCAGGGGAUCACUUGUGACCUUGCGCUAAUAGAUGAGCCUAAGUCGGAUUAGCUAGUUGGUGGGGUAAAGGCCUACCAAGGCGACGAUCUGUAGCGGGUCUGAGAGGAUGAUCCGCCACAAUGGGAAUGAGACACGGCCCAGACUCCUACGGGAGGCAGCAGUGGGGAAUAUUGGACAAUGGGGGGAACCCUGAUCCAGCCAUGCCGCGUGUGUGAAGAAGGCCUUAUGGUUGUAAAGCACUUUAAGCGAGGAGGAGGCUCUUUUGGUUAAUACCCAAGAUGAGUGACGUUACUCGCAGAAUAAGCACCGGCUAACUCUGUGCCAGCAGCCGCCGUAA